Molecule: long non-coding RNA, 692 nt
Organism: Anopheles stephensi (Asian malaria mosquito)
Lineage: Eukaryota; Metazoa; Arthropoda; Insecta; Diptera; Culicidae
Exons: 2
Source: RefSeq, a predicted model, not a curated record
UAGGUGUGACAGCACUUGUUCAAAUUGGAACAGCAGCACGAACCAUCCCGAAGCCCGAAAUUGCAUAAAACAUCGCUCAGAGUCGUUGCGAAUACGCGACGCCUUCAUUUUGCAGUGAACCUCAAACCAACAAGAUGGCGUCACUUUGGAGAAUCGUUUUCGCUUGCUGCUUAAUAUUGGGCGCUUUCAGCGAUGCUUUAUCUCCACCAGUUAGACCUUCGCCCUGGUGUACUCCCUUGGAUACAAUGAAAGCUUUCGACAGAAGAACACCACGUUGCGGCCGGAAUGAGGUUUACUCGUGCUGUGGACCUUGCGUACAGCAAACCUGCAGACCUCGGCUACAAAAUGUGAAUUGUUUAGUUGCCUGCACGGAGGGUUGUGUCUGUAGGCAAGGGUUUGUGCGAAAUGUGCCGGGUGGAAUCUGUAUUCUGAAGUCUAGAUGUGCUAUUAGAGGAUGAAAGUGGAUUGCAAAAUGAGUCUGUGAAAUAUUUUUGGGAAUAUUGCUAUUCCAACGUCUACGUCUGCAGAAGGAACUCAAGAAUCAUGUCUACAGCAUCAAUCAAGAAAGGCUACCACCAGCCUAUGUACGUCAAGCACUUCGAAAAUAUUCCUAUCGGAAGAGCUAUGUGGAUCAUGAGUUAUAUUACCUAGAUGUAAAUAUUCUGCUAUAAACACAGUCUGUCUGCUCACUA